AAUAAUUAUAUAUGCCAAAAUAUUCAACAUAUUCACACUCAAAAUAAAACAACAUCAACAACACUUUCACAUAAUAGCAUCAAGGUUCUACACCUCCAGAUUUCGCGGUUAAAUUUUCCAGCAACCAUAAACCUGCCACAUGCAAAAUGAAAACUAAAAGUCAUAGUUCAGGAACUCAAUCGCAAAACACCCAGAUGCUAGAACCCUACACUUUCCUAGCUUUUCCUUUGUCAUUCUGUCCUCC
This 244-nucleotide long non-coding RNA is filed under the name Gossypium barbadense (sea-island cotton). Its description in RNAcentral is "long non-coding RNA (GBAR_LNC021518)". The record is from RNAcentral. Lineage: Eukaryota; Viridiplantae; Streptophyta; Magnoliopsida; Malvales; Malvaceae.